Molecule: non-coding RNA, 45 nt
Organism: Toxocara canis (dog roundworm)
Lineage: Eukaryota; Metazoa; Nematoda; Chromadorea; Rhabditida; Toxocaridae
Source: Rfam
CCAACGGCCCUCUUUAGGGCCACGAACAGAUAAACCAAGCUCUGU